Molecule: non-coding RNA, 45 nt
Organism: Aedes aegypti (yellow fever mosquito)
Lineage: Eukaryota; Metazoa; Arthropoda; Insecta; Diptera; Culicidae
Source: Rfam
UAAACGGCCCUUUUCAGGGCCAUAAGUUAUUAAGAGAAAUCAGUU